This is a long non-coding RNA of Ahaetulla prasina, 203 nucleotides long. RefSeq lists it as uncharacterized. The transcript has 3 exons. The record is from RefSeq and is a predicted model, not a curated record. NCBI's taxonomy places the organism in Eukaryota, Metazoa, Chordata, Lepidosauria, Squamata, Colubridae.
UUCUCAGCCCUUCUUUUCCUUCUCCUCCCAGGGUCCAUGUUUUCACAAGCAAUGAAGAAAUGGGUGCAAGGAAAUACAGAUGAGGCCCAAGAGGAGAUGGCGUGGAGGAUAGCCAAGAUGAUCGUCAAUGACGUCAUGCAACAGGCCCAACCCCCGGAGGCAGCGCUCGAAAAGGUGACUAAGCUAUGAUCUUCAGGAGCUUC